CCGAUAGUUAAGAGGAAGCUCAUCAAUUGCUUAAGAACUAAACCUUCUUAAAAAACGAAACAUGUGAUGCCGUAGACGCCAAAAGGCUUUAUCAGGAACGGUAGAUCCGACCGAACAGAUAGAAAAACUUUUGAAAAAGUGGAUCGUCGUUUGAAAGGGACAGGAACGUUUGCCAAAGCCAAACACAAUUGUGGAAGCCAAAAGAGAAUCGCAAUGCGGUUGCUAAAGAAGAUAUUUUAAAUGCGGUAGAAGCAGAUGUUUCAAUACGUGUCAAGAAAUUAAUUGCCCUGUUUCGUUGUCCAAAAAUAUACAG
Long non-coding RNA from Dendroctonus ponderosae (mountain pine beetle), 313 nucleotides. RefSeq lists it as uncharacterized. The record is from RefSeq and is a predicted model, not a curated record. NCBI's taxonomy places the organism in Eukaryota, Metazoa, Arthropoda, Insecta, Coleoptera, Curculionidae. The transcript has 3 exons.